GACGAACGCUGGCGGCGUGCUUAACACAUGCAAGUCGAACGGUGAAGGUGGAGCUUGCUCCGCCGGAUCAGUGGCGAACGGGUGAGUAACACGUGGGCAACCUGCCCCAGACUUCGGGAUAACUCCUCGAAAGAGGCGCUAAUACCGGAUACGAGUUCUGCAGGCAUCUGCGGAAUUGGAAAGUUUUUCGGUCUGGGAUUGGCCCGCGGCCUAUCAGCUUGUUGGUGAGGUAACGGCUCAACAAUGCGACGACGGGUAGCCGGCCUGAGAGGGCGACCGGCCGAACGGGGACGGAGACACGGCUCAGCCUCCUACGGGAGUCAGCACUGGGGAAGAGUGCGCAACGUGCGAAAGCCUGACGCAGCAACGCCGCGUGCGGGAUGAAGGCCUUCGGGUUGUAAACCGCGUUCAGCAGGGAAGAAGCGAAAGUGACGGUACCUGCAGAAGAAGCACCGGCUAACUACGUGCCAGCAGCCGCGGUAA
RNAcentral lists this ribosomal RNA (483 nucleotides) under uncultured bacterium. Its description in RNAcentral is "partial 16S ribosomal RNA". It matches the Rfam family "Bacterial small subunit ribosomal RNA", at positions 28 to 523 of the family's 1533-position model. The record is from RNAcentral.